AUUGAACGCUGGCGGCAGGCCUAACACAUGCAAGUCGAGCGGAUGAAGGGAGCUUGCUCCUGGAUUCAGCGGCGGACGGGUGAGUAAUGCCUAGGAAUCUGCCUGGUAGUGGGGGAUAACGUCCGGAAACGGGCGCUAAUACCGCAUACGUCCUGAGGGAGAAAGUGGGUGAUCUUCGGACCUCACGCUAUCAGAUGAGCCUAGGCCGGAUUAGCUAGUUGGUGGGGUAAAGGCCUACCAAGGCGACGAUCCGUAACUGGUCUGAGAGGAUGAUCAGUCACACUGGAACUGGGACACGGUCCAGACUCCUACGGGAGGCAGCGGUGGGGAAUAUUGGACAAAGGGCGAAAGCCUGAUCCAGCCAUGCCGCGUGUGUGAAGAAGGUCUUCGGAUUGUAAAGCACUUUAAGUUGGGAGGAAGGGCAGUAAGUUAAUACCUUGCUGUUUUGACGGUACCAACAGAAUAAGCACCGGCUAACUUCGUG
This 484-nucleotide ribosomal RNA is filed under the name uncultured bacterium. RNAcentral describes it as "partial 16S ribosomal RNA". It matches the Rfam family "Bacterial small subunit ribosomal RNA", at positions 30 to 507 of the family's 1533-position model. The record is from RNAcentral.